Molecule: ribosomal RNA, 1538 nt
Filed under: Salmonella enterica subsp. enterica serovar Typhimurium
Lineage: Bacteria; Pseudomonadati; Pseudomonadota; Gammaproteobacteria; Enterobacterales; Enterobacteriaceae
Also listed under: 1 other name
Description: bacterial SSU rRNA
Rfam family: Bacterial small subunit ribosomal RNA
Source: RNAcentral
UUGAAGAGUUUGAUCAUGGCUCAGAUUGAACGCUGGCGGCAGGCCUAACACAUGCAAGUCGAACGGUAACAGGAAGCAGCUUGCUGCUUCGCUGACGAGUGGCGGACGGGUGAGUAAUGUCUGGGAAACUGCCUGAUGGAGGGGGAUAACUACUGGAAACGGUGGCUAAUACCGCAUAACGUCGCAAGACCAAAGAGGGGGACCUUCGGGCCUCUUGCCAUCAGAUGUGCCCAGAUGGGAUUAGCUAGUUGGUGAGGUAACGGCUCACCAAGGCGACGAUCCCUAGCUGGUCUGAGAGGAUGACCAGCCACACUGGAACUGAGACACGGUCCAGACUCCUACGGGAGGCAGCAGUGGGGAAUAUUGCACAAUGGGCGCAAGCCUGAUGCAGCCAUGCCGCGUGUAUGAAGAAGGCCUUCGGGUUGUAAAGUACUUUCAGCGGGGAGGAAGGUGUUGUGGUUAAUAACCGCAGCAAUUGACGUUACCCGCAGAAGAAGCACCGGCUAACUCCGUGCCAGCAGCCGCGGUAAUACGGAGGGUGCAAGCGUUAAUCGGAAUUACUGGGCGUAAAGCGCACGCAGGCGGUCUGUCAAGUCGGAUGUGAAAUCCCCGGGCUCAACCUGGGAACUGCAUUCGAAACUGGCAGGCUUGAGUCUUGUAGAGGGGGGUAGAAUUCCAGGUGUAGCGGUGAAAUGCGUAGAGAUCUGGAGGAAUACCGGUGGCGAAGGCGGCCCCCUGGACAAAGACUGACGCUCAGGUGCGAAAGCGUGGGGAGCAAACAGGAUUAGAUACCCUGGUAGUCCACGCCGUAAACGAUGUCUACUUGGAGGUUGUGCCCUUGAGGCGUGGCUUCCGGAGCUAACGCGUUAAGUAGACCGCCUGGGGAGUACGGCCGCAAGGUUAAAACUCAAAUGAAUUGACGGGGGCCCGCACAAGCGGUGGAGCAUGUGGUUUAAUUCGAUGCAACGCGAAGAACCUUACCUGGUCUUGACAUCCACAGAAGAAUCCAGAGAUGGAUUUGUGCCUUCGGGAACUGUGAGACAGGUGCUGCAUGGCUGUCGUCAGCUCGUGUUGUGAAAUGUUGGGUUAAGUCCCGCAACGAGCGCAACCCUUAUCCUUUGUUGCCAGCGGUUAGGCCGGGAACUCAAAGGAGACUGCCAGUGAUAAACUGGAGGAAGGUGGGGAUGACGUCAAGUCAUCAUGGCCCUUACGACCAGGGCUACACACGUGCUACAAUGGCGCAUACAAAGAGAAGCGACCUCGCGAGAGCAAGCGGACCUCAUAAAGUGCGUCGUAGUCCGGAUUGGAGUCUGCAACUCGACUCCAUGAAGUCGGAAUCGCUAGUAAUCGUGGAUCAGAAUGCCACGGUGAAUACGUUCCCGGGCCUUGUACACACCGCCCGUCACACCAUGGGAGUGGGUUGCAAAAGAAGUAGGUAGCUUAACCUUCGGGAGGGCGCUUACCACUUUGUGAUUCAUGACUGGGGUGAAGUCGUAACAAGGUAACCGUAGGGGAACCUGCGGUUGGAUCACCUCCUU